Molecule: long non-coding RNA, 3835 nt
Organism: Cephus cinctus (wheat stem sawfly)
Lineage: Eukaryota; Metazoa; Arthropoda; Insecta; Hymenoptera; Cephidae
Exons: 7
Source: RefSeq, a predicted model, not a curated record
AGACUCGCGCUUCUGUCUGUCAGUGAAGCCUCAAGGGGUCAAACCCUCGCGAGAUCCAUAACAGCGAUUAUUACUCUUUGUCCAAGAAUCUUUACAAAUGAUUGGCCGAGCACCGACAUCUUCGGCAUUCCUUGCUUCGACCAGGGUGUACGAAGAUUAUACGAGACGAAGGGAAGAAGAAGAAGGUACGAGGAUGGAAGUGGAAACCUGGCUAACCCGUUGGAAGAUCUGAUGCUGACGGGUAUUAAAAUUAAUGAUCAGUACCGAACGCUGACGUGUCACCUUAUACCACCAUGCGUCAUCUUGAUUGACCAAUAAAUUAUCCAAGAGAUCAAUCAUUUUUCGUGGGAAUUUCAACAAAACGUCUAUUUUCAUACGGACAUUAUAUACGGUACAGGAAAUACCUUGAUGGCCUUUUUUUUAUCCUCAAUACUCACGAAACGUGACCUCAAGAUCACCGAUGUCUCGGGAGUCUCUUGAUUCGAUCACAAAAGCGUGACGCAAUUCGUCAUUGUCCAUAUAGUUUAGUCAAUAGAUUUACAAAAAAUAACCUUAAAAUUGAUCUUGUCAAAAAUCGUAAUUCAAUAGUUCCCAAUGGAUUCAUCCAGAGGGAACUGUAAUCAGUGAUGCCAAAUGAGAGAAUUACGAAAGUUAACACGGUACGAUAUGUGACAGGCUUUUCGUAUGGGAUUUUCGUAUUUAGUUUCUUGGUGUCAUGUCGUUUUUUACGGUUCCGCGCCUCAGGACAGGUUGGUCGCUCUAAACACACACAUGGGUUAUUUCUUGACAAGCAUCUUUAUCCAUCUUCAGCUCUCCAUUGGAUUUUCCAUCCACGUGUUUGUCUAUGGUGAAACAAGAACUAAAUUCAGCAUCCUGGGAAUAGACGCACCUGUCUUUCUGAUCCGGUGGCAGUUUUAAUCUAAACUUUAUUAAUAUAUACAUAUAUAUAUAGGCAUAUUAAGAUCAGUUCCAGCAUCACCAAUCUCUAGGAGGAAUUCCCAUAGGGAUGGUAUCCAUCCGAAGCUGGAUGAGUCACUCUGUCCAAAUGAAAGAGCAAAGCAUAACGGAGUAAAGAAGCCUGUAGUAGGGGAAGGGUUAUGGCAGUGGGGAUAUGUAAUGGAGAGGGAGUCACAGCCUCCGAGGAAAGAGAUAAUAUAUACCCUUGAUGUGUACCCAGAUGAGAUGACAGACCAUAUUGGAUUUUGGAAAUGACUUCAUGGACCAGAAGAAUGAUAUAUUAUACAAUAAUAGUCAUUUUUGGAUUCCAUUUUCUCGAUUUCAAGAUGCAUCGUGAAGAGAUGGUAGAUCUUCGUAGUUGAAUAGGAGCUUCUCGUGUCUAACUAAUGGGCCCAUAAUAAUGGGCAUGAAGAGAAAAUAAUAAGUAUGGACAAGCAAUAAAAACCAACUGUACUUUACACCUAUUGGAGAAUUGGUAUUAUGAAGAGGCAGCGAUAAAAAUCUUUUUUCUAUUUAUUCGUAGGAACGUUAUAAGGUAUAUGCCGUAUAACGUUGCUUGAGGUUCUUUAAACAUGUUCUCCUAUCGUAAGUCCCAAAGGAGUCGAGAAUUAUUGGGACCGUUACAUGUAGAAGGUACCAUAACACUGAUCGAACAGCGACUUCUUAAUGAUAUGGUGACCAUUAGAAUCUCACGUUGAGUGUCAUCGGACCCGACGUAGGCUGACGAUACGUUACGAUAAUGAUGUGACAAAAUCAGGGGCCUGGUAAGGCCCAGUAUGCUGUAACUAUGUUCACAUAUUCUUUCCUGCCACCUGGUUUACGGGUGGCCUCUGCCUACACCACCCACCAAGAAAAUACCCUUGGACACACUAAAUUUAAUCGAACGACUGAUUGUUUAACUGACCAUGUCGGGGCCUGUCAUGAUUCCCAAACUAUUUCUUUGGGUCAUAGGGCUCAAUAGACACUGUCCCUAGGGUACUCGAUUGGAUGAACGACAGGAAAGGAUUCCACGGAUUUAUUACUGGGUUACAACUUAGUAUCGGUACUACCAACUGGAGAAAACUGAAAAAUAUCCCUGUUGCGUGAAUCCGGUUGACCGAAUUCCACGUAGGUGAAUAAUGAUCGGAUAGGGCCCCGCGAGCGGGCCCUAAUAAAAGGACACAGACCCCUUUACCUUAUUCUACCCAAAAAAGAACGCACGGUGAAUAGGACCAGACUUCUUCUAAGAUCAUUCCGGGAAUAGAAGGUGAUACCUACUCUGUUAUACCGAGUGGUCCCAGACCCUUCGACGCCAGGGCCUUAGGGCCCUAAUCGGUUCUUCUCUUAAGUAGUUGCUAACACGUGUACUUAACCUGCACUCUCUUCUGAUCAUUAUAAUUUCACGAAAGCUCUCUGUAUCCAAAAUAAGGCCCAUUUUGGGAAUUUCAAUCAGCCAAUAAAAAUCCAGCAAAAUACCCUUAUCAGAAAUCUUCCCCUUCGAAACAAGACUCACCAGCCCCACGCUUCAACCUCUCCCUCAAUCACCCUUUCUGAACUCCCUAAGAUACCUAAAAUAUCAACAGUCAUCCAAAAUGAAAAGUCCAAAAUUUUUCAAAAACAAUUUUCUUUAUCAUCGAUAUAUCCAUACCGAUAUCUCAUUGAACCAAUGUCUUCAGGGUGGCUAGUACGUCACGUCACGUGGGAGCCCACCCAUGUCGCCGUUCUUCGUUCGCAUCUAUCACAGAGCCACCUUUACCCAGCUCUAGACUAAUAAAGGUUUCGAUUUCUCCUAUAUACCUUCACCCUAUAUCCCUUAUCAAAAGAGAGCAUACGUUAUCAAAAAAAUAAAAAAAUUCACACAUCCACCUUCAAUGACUUCAUAACUCGAACCACAUGUAUACCCCUUCCAAAGACUUUGUGGGUGUUUUCUUAUCGUUCCAAGUACCCGGAACAUCCUGAACCAAUGUCCAAGUCCCACGCACGCUCGUUACCGUCCAAGGAUCAUGUGUGACGUUGGAUAUGUGAUCACGUUCCAGAAAAAAUUCCCUCGAGUAGAUUCGUAAAAACGGCUGAUUCUAUAGGUGAAAAAAAACCCAAAUUCAAUUUUUAAAAAUUUUUCCAAAUCCUCUCGCCGUUACAGUAUGUCAUAAAUGAACUUUGAAAAUCAUCUUCGUUCUCAGAAUCCUAGAAAUUAUCUCCGUCAGGCUCGACCGAACACGUGGGUCGGUUGACAGUUCAUCGAACAGAUCAUCUUCCUUUUGCUACUUCUCGCGUUAUCUCACAGAAUCACAACCCGUAACUCCUUACAUUACACGUUUAUCCAAGAUUUAAUCGGCAACAAGUAUGGCUACAUAAUAUUAGCCAAUCAUGUUACGGGUAUUAGCAUAAACGGUAUUUAUAACCAAAGUAAUUGACUUUAUAUGUAUAUAUAUAUAUAUUAAAUCUUAAUAGAACCAGUUCUGUACACGUUUAAGAUACUUAUAUUGAUUAUCCAAUAAAAUGUUCAAUUCGAGUAUCGACACAUACAAAUUCGACAGAUGCAUCUGAGAUAUUUUUUCGAGCAGCUUCCGGCCAUGAAAAAUAAAAAAAAAUUGUACCAACUAAAACGAACCAUAUUAAUCACUCGGUAUACAGAUCUAUAUACACACAUAUACUGUCGCUAUAAAAAUUCAUCGAAUCACUUAAAUCCCUUUAAUGAUCCCGCGCCGCGUUUGAUCGCCACCCCAUAUAAAUUUAUAACGUCGAUUUUACGUUUAAUUAUCCGCGGCGCAUCCACAAGGCGUUCCUAAGGCCCCGAAAGUGUCCGUCUUUGGCGUCAUGGCCGACCGUCGUUAAGUCGUAAAAGCACGCAGAAUUCAUGUAGACCGUGACGUCACUACAUGCACAAUAAUGUCUUAUU